AUUGAACGCUGGCGGCAUGCUUUACACAUGCAAGUCGAACGGUAACAGGCCUUCGGUUGUUGUCGAGUGGUGACCGGGUGAGUAAUGCAUCGGAACGUACCCAGUGGCUGUGGGUAACGCAUCGAAUGCUGUACUAGUACCGCAUGUGAUCUGAGGUUGAAAGCGGGGGACUGCGCUGCUAUGUUUCGCCUCGGCCCUUUGUAAUGGCUGAAGCCGGAUUAGCUUGUUGGUAGGGUAAAGGCAUCCCAAGGCAACGAUCCGUAGCUGAGCUGAGAGGACGACCAGCCACACUGGAACUGAGACACGGUCCAGACUCCUACGGGAGGCAGCAGUGGGGAAUUUUGGACAAAGGGCGCAAGCCUGAUCCAGCAAUGCCGCGUGCGGGAAGAAGGCCUUCGGGUUGUAAACCGCUUUUGGCAGGAACGAAACAGUGUCCGCUAAUACCGGGCGGUAAUGACGGUACCUGCAGAGUAAGCACCGGCUAACUACGUG
This 492-nucleotide ribosomal RNA is filed under the name uncultured bacterium. RNAcentral's name for it is "partial 16S ribosomal RNA". It matches the Rfam family "Bacterial small subunit ribosomal RNA", at positions 30 to 507 of the family's 1533-position model. The record is from RNAcentral.